RNAcentral lists this unclassified non-coding RNA (181 nucleotides) under fungal sp. RNAcentral's name for it is "partial internal transcribed spacer region". The stretch from base 1 to 46 matches the Rfam family "Eukaryotic small subunit ribosomal RNA", at positions 1786 to 1831 of the family's 1831-position model. Lineage: Eukaryota; Fungi. The record is from RNAcentral.
AAGUCGUAACAAGGUUUCCGUAGGUGAACCUGCGGAAGGAUCAUUAACCGUGUCUGUAUGUGGACAUGUGAUGUGGUGUAUGCGUGUUUUGGUCCACGUGGCCAUGUUUUUACAUUACCUUACCAUUAAUCUAAUCUCUUAUCAACCAGUAAAACUGGCAGCAAUGGAUCCCUCGGUUCUC